CAGUAGCCGCGGGAAUACAGAGGGUGCGAGCGUUAAUCGGAUUUACUGGGCGUAAAGCGUGCGUAGGCGGCUAAUUGAGUCGGAUGUGAAAUCCCCGAGCUUAACUUGGGAAUUGCAUUCGAUACUGGUUAGCUAGAGUGUGGGAGAGGAUGGUAGAAUUCCAGGUGUAGCGGUGAAAUGCGUAGAGAUCUGGAGGAAUACCGAUGGCGAAGGCAGCCAUCUGGCCUAAUACUGACGCUGAGGUACGAAAGCAUGGGGAGCAAACAGGAUUAGAUACCCGUGUAGUCCCUGUCUCUUAUAC
Molecule: ribosomal RNA, 301 nt
Filed under: uncultured bacterium
Lineage: Bacteria
Description: partial 16S ribosomal RNA
Rfam family: Bacterial small subunit ribosomal RNA
Source: RNAcentral